GUCCUCUUGUUUUAUAUAUGAGGUCUGACCUGCCCAGUGAAAAUUAUUUUAACGGCCGCGGUAUUUUGACCGUGCAAAGGUAGCAUAAUCAUUAGUCUUUUAAUAGGAGGCUGGAAUGAAGGGUUUGGCGAGGUAUUGACUGUCUCAUUUAAUUUGAAAUUAAAAUUUAACUUUUCAGUUAAAAGGCUGAAAUUUUAUUGGAAGACGAGAAGACCCUAUAGAGCUUUAUAUUUAAAAUUAAUAAUAAAUUUUUGUUUAUUAUUAUUUCUUAUUAUUUUAAUUAUUUUGUUGGGGUGACAAAAAUAUAUAAAUAACUUUUUUAUUUAAAUAACAUUGAUUUAUGAUUAUUAGAUCCAGUCUUAUUGAUUGUUAGAUUAAGUUACCUUAGGGAUAACAGCGUAAUCUUCCUUCAGAGUUCAUAUUUACAGGAAGGAUUGCGACCUCGAUGUUGGAUUAAGAUAAUAAUUAGGUGUAGCCGCUUAAUAUAUAGGUCUGUUCGACCUUUAAAUUCUU
RNAcentral lists this ribosomal RNA (513 nucleotides) under Trigomphus ogumai. RNAcentral's name for it is "partial 16S rRNA". It matches the Rfam family "Bacterial large subunit ribosomal RNA", at positions 1819 to 2597 of the family's 2925-position model. The record is from RNAcentral. Lineage: Eukaryota; Metazoa; Arthropoda; Insecta; Odonata; Gomphidae.